RNAcentral lists this ribosomal RNA (370 nucleotides) under uncultured organism. Its description in RNAcentral is "partial 16S ribosomal RNA". It matches the Rfam family "Bacterial small subunit ribosomal RNA", at positions 527 to 896 of the family's 1533-position model. The record is from RNAcentral.
GUAGGGUCCAAGCGUUAAUCGGAAUUACUGGGCGUAAAGCGUGCGCAGGCGGUUGUGCAAGACCGAUGUGAAAUCCCCGGGCUUAACCUGGGAAUUGCAUUGGUGACUGCACAGCUAGAGUGUGUCAGAGGGGGGUAGAAUUCCACGUGUAGCAGUGAAAUGCGUAGAGAUGUGGAGGAAUACCGAUGGCGAAGGCAGCCCCCUGGGAUAACACUGACGCUCAUGCACGAAAGCGUGGGGGGAGCAAACAGGAUUAGAUACCCUGGUAGUCCACGCCCUAAACGAUGUCAACUAGUUGUUGGGGAUUCAUUUCCUUAGUAACGUAGCUAACGCGUGAAGUUGACCGCCUGGGAGUACGGUCGCAAGAUUA